This is a non-coding RNA of Dendryphion nanum, 86 nucleotides long. The record is from the annotation of a GenBank genome assembly. Lineage: Eukaryota; Fungi; Ascomycota; Dothideomycetes; Pleosporales; Torulaceae.
GGCCUUGUGGCGCAAUGGUAGCGCGUCAGAUUCCAGCUUCUGCAGGAAUGUCCUGAAGGUUUCCCGUUCGAGUCGGGACAGGGUCA